GAACUUGCCCUUUUACUUUUUUUCUCACGGGGGCGUGCACUGACAAUUUUUUUACCUGAAAGAAUGGGGCGCUCUGUAUAUUCAGCUAAACCAACCACCGAGAAAUUUGCUUGUGGCCGCGGUUCCGAUUUGCGGGUUCAUUUCAAGAACACACGAGAAGUAGCCCGCGCGAUAAGAGGAAUGUACUUAAAAAAGGCGAAGAAGUAUCUUUAUCAAGUUGCUAAGAAGCAAAGAAUAAUUCCUUUCACUCGUUUUAAGGGUGACGUUGGACGUCACGCUCAGUGUAAAGAGUUUAAAGUAUCCACACAAGGACGUUGGCCUUUGAAGUCUGUCAAAUUUGUAAAUGCUCUUUUGCAAAAUGUGGAAGCUAAUGCGCAGAGAAAAAAUCUUAAUAUUAAGAGAUUAAAAAUAACACAUAUCCAAGUUAAUGCCGCUGCGAAAAUGAGAAGACGCACAUAUCGUGCGCACGGACGCAUCAACCCUUACAUGUCCUCGCCUUGUCAUAUAGAGAUUAUUGCAGAGGAAGCCCAGGAAGACGUCCCGCGACCACCCAAAGCAAAAAAUAUGGGACUCGUGAAAAAGACUGCGGAAAAAUAAUUUGGGUUGUAUAAAAAACGUAGACAUUAAAUUGAAUUCUAU
Molecule: long non-coding RNA, 639 nt
Organism: Zophobas morio
Lineage: Eukaryota; Metazoa; Arthropoda; Insecta; Coleoptera; Tenebrionidae
Exons: 4
Source: RefSeq, a predicted model, not a curated record